RNAcentral lists this transfer RNA (67 nucleotides) under Globospongicola spinulatus. RNAcentral describes it as "tRNA-Lys". Lineage: Eukaryota; Metazoa; Arthropoda; Malacostraca; Decapoda; Spongicolidae. The record is from RNAcentral.
AGUUGAAUGACUGAAAAGAAAGUGUUAACCUUUUAAGUUUAUUAUAGUAAAAUCGCCUACUUUCAAC